ACGUACACUCCUGCGGGAGGCAGCAGUGGGGAAUAUUGGACAAUGGGCGCAGGCCUGAUCCAGCCAUGCCGCGUGAGUGAUGAAGGCCCUAGGGUUGUAAAGCUCUUUCACCGGUGAAGAUAAUGACGGUAACCGGAGAAGAAGCCCCGGCUAACUUCGUGCCAGCAGCCGCGGUAAUACGAAGGGGGCUAGCGUUGUUCGGAUUUACUGGGCGUAAAGCGCACGUAGGCGGACUAUUAAGUCAGGGGUGAAAUCCCGGGGCUCAACCCCGGAACUGCCUUUGAUACUGGUAGUCUUGAGUUCGAGAGAGGUGAGUGGAAUUCCGAGUGUAGAGGUGAAAUUCGUAGAUAUUCGGAGGAACACCAGUGGCGAAGGCGGCUCACUGGCUCGAUACUGACGCUGAGGUGCGAAAGCGUGGGGAGCAAACAGGAUUAGAAACCCCUGUAGUCCCAUG
This 454-nucleotide ribosomal RNA is filed under the name uncultured organism. Its description in RNAcentral is "partial 16S ribosomal RNA". It matches the Rfam family "Bacterial small subunit ribosomal RNA", at positions 329 to 799 of the family's 1533-position model. The record is from RNAcentral.